This 983-nucleotide long non-coding RNA is filed under the name Nicotiana benthamiana. Its description in RNAcentral is "long non-coding RNA (NBEN_LNC008131)". The record is from RNAcentral. Lineage: Eukaryota; Viridiplantae; Streptophyta; Magnoliopsida; Solanales; Solanaceae.
GUCUCAAGUGUAAUUGGACCAGAGGUCCUUCAAUGGAGUUUCACGGCUUUUCUCCGGCAAGUCUUUGAAGCCUUGGGUCCUUGCCAAGCUCCGAUGAGUCGUUCAGGCUUUCUCGCCAUUUCUGAGGCCUUUUUUGAAAACCCUAAUGAUUCGAGGUUCUUUUAUACUUUUCUCUGUGUUAUUUUACGAUCUUCUUUGAGUACUAACUAUUUUCUGAUUUUUUUUUAAAGCGUUUCUCGUCUUUUUCUUCGCCUAGUCGUGUUUUCAAAGACUGUUCAUCUCUUUCAAAAUCUAGGGUUUUUUGUGGCCUAUCUGACUCUUUGAUUUUGUUGUUUAUUUUUUGCUACUAUGUGUCCUUCUCCACAAUUUUGAGCCUUUUCUUAUUUAGCUCUAAAUGUUUUGCCUCACUGAUUACCUUUCUAGGGUUUUCGGUCAAUUGUGCUAUGCUUUCUUUAUUAUGUUCUGCACUUGUUCAUCUUCGCCUAUGAUAUUCUCUGUGUUCUGACUUGUAAUUGGAACCCUAAUUUCUAAGGGUAUUUUCCAUUCUUCUUUGUUUGUGAAACCCUAACAGCCUAAUUGAUUUCUUGUACGUGUUUUGCUCAGACUUAUGCAUCUUUUAUAGUAUCAUCUUCCCUUUUUCUGAAACCUUAAUUGAUUUUGGUACAACUGUAUGAUUCUCUAUUGUUCCCUGUUUUCUGACUAAGUUCGAAUGCUACUAGUAUCUUGACUCCUUGAUUGUCUGGGUAAUUACCUGCCUUAUAUAUUCAACCGUGUGAUUUUCAAAUUUCUUAUAUGCAUCUACCCCUAUAUUCUGUGAUUACUACUAUAUUUUCUUUCCAAAAUUAGACCUGGGCUUAUUUAUUUUUCCAUUCGGUUCCUUAAUUGAAGGGGUUCCCUUCUCCUUAAUUGAUAUGGAUUGAUUUCUGAAUAUUUCCUUGCAUUGUUGGUGCCUCUUUUCCAAACUAUAAAUAGGUUCUCUCUUU